UAUGAUGGUUUUUCUCUUUGGAGGCUACUUCUCUCUCGGAUGAUUGCUCACUUUGGUUGCUUCUCUCAAUUGGUUCGGUUGGUUACGCUAGUAGUUGGUUGAUUUAUUUUCUGGGUUAACUUGUAACAAGCUUAAAAGCUUAGUAAGCUUUAGCUUGAGGGGUAGUAUUAAGAUAAAAUGUUUUGAAUUUAUAUUAUUUAGUAUGUUUUUCGUAUUUGUUUUGUUUGACAAACUCACAAUGCUUCUUGUUAACGCAUCGUGAGUUUGAGGGUAGGUGUUAAGAUAAUAAGUUGUUGGGCUUUAUAUUAUUGGACCCAUUAGGUUUAUAGUCCACUAGGUUUUGCUAUAUAAUCUCUUGUAACUCUAUUUUAUGAAGCUAAUGCAAUUUUAAUAUUAUUA
Molecule: long non-coding RNA, 399 nt
Filed under: Trifolium pratense (red clover)
Lineage: Eukaryota; Viridiplantae; Streptophyta; Magnoliopsida; Fabales; Fabaceae
Description: long non-coding RNA (TPRA_LNC000883)
Source: RNAcentral